GGGCUGGCUGAGCGGUUGAAAGCACUGGUCUUGAAAACCAGCGUGGGUUUGUAGCCCACCGUGAGUUCGAAUCUCACGCCCUCCGCCA
RNAcentral lists this transfer RNA (88 nucleotides) under Gammaproteobacteria bacterium. Its description in RNAcentral is "tRNA-Ser". It matches the Rfam family "tRNA". Rfam says of the family: Transfer RNA (tRNA) molecules are approximately 80 nucleotides in length. Their secondary structure includes four short double-helical elements and three loops (D, anti-codon, and T loops). The record is from RNAcentral. Lineage: Bacteria; Pseudomonadati; Pseudomonadota; Gammaproteobacteria.